Rosa chinensis is the source of this 891-nucleotide RNA transcript. It is a transcript of the gene named probable aspartyl aminopeptidase, with no coding region annotated. The record is from RefSeq and is a predicted model, not a curated record. The transcript is spliced from 5 exons. NCBI's taxonomy places the organism in Eukaryota, Viridiplantae, Streptophyta, Magnoliopsida, Rosales, Rosaceae.
CCACUUCCAUUCUGGAAACAACUGCUUGUGGCAAGUGAAGCCACACAUCAAAUCCUGGUUGACUUUAUGAGGAAUUGGCGAUGACAAAAAAUUCAGAUAUCUUGGAGCAUCUGGAUUCAGACGAGGCGGAGAAGCGUCUGCAAAGCGCGGGGUACGAGCAGGUUUUGGAGAGAGAGGAUUGGAAAUUGGAGGCUGGUAAAAAGUACUACUUCACCAGGAACUACUCCACCAUUGUGGCUUUUGCAAUCGGUAAAAAAUUUGUUGCCGGAAAUGGAUUCCAUAUAGUUCGUGCUCAUACUGAUAGUCCUUGUCUCAAAUUGAAGUCUGUUUCCAAGGUAGCUAAGGGUGGGUACUUGGAAGUGGGAGUCCAAACAUAUGGAGGUGGCUUGUGGCAUACCUGGUACAACCGUGACUUGACAAUUGCAGGAAGGGUGAUAGUAAGAGAAGAGAAAGAUGGUGUUGUUUCUUACUCACAUAGACUUGUCCGGAUUGAGGAGCCCAAUUCCUACUCUGGCAAUUCACCUGGACAGGGAAUCUUGCUGCGCAAUUUAUUAUUCACAUGUUUGGGUUGUUGAGUGGUUUGUGCUUUGGACUGAGAUAUGCGUGUAUUUUUCAUUUUUAUUGGCAUGCUCUUGACAGGGAUGUUAGAGAGGCGUUUAAGGAGGAGAGGGCUAUGUUGAUUCUGCAAACCUUAAGAGGCUAGGCUGCUGAAGGCUUAUGGAGAGCUUUCAAGGAACACAUCUUAACGACGAUAUUACUGGGGGUCUUGAAGAUAAAAAUGAAGGUGGUGCUAAUGACUACAUCGAGUUUGAGGAUGAAGAUAUUGAUAAUAUUUAAAGUUUGCAGCUAGUACUUUUAUGGUUUUGUAUUUCCAUAUGGGCAAUUGGUCAU